This is a long non-coding RNA of Hibiscus syriacus, 668 nucleotides long. RefSeq lists it as uncharacterized. Lineage: Eukaryota; Viridiplantae; Streptophyta; Magnoliopsida; Malvales; Malvaceae. The transcript is spliced from 4 exons. The record is from RefSeq and is a predicted model, not a curated record.
GGGAAGAUGCAAUCAGAUUUUGGAGUUCACAAAAAGGACAGGACCGAGAGCAUAUUAGUGUUGCUAGCAGGCAACAUCAAAAGUUAUGCACACGGCUGGAUCAAAGAGUUUUGUUUGUAUAGCUAGUGAGGAGGAAAAUACAUCUGUUCUAAAGUUGGCCGAAUACAACUAUUCGACAUGACACAUAAGAAGAAUGAUGGAACUCCUAUGACUGCUGAAGCUGCAGAAAUUAUUGAAAAAUUGAAGGAGAAAAGGGCGAAGUAUCAUGCUACUGGUUCGAGUCACAGUAUUGUUAAUGAUGAUGACAUUGAAAACUGAGCUAUUAAUGACGUUUUGGGUCCUGAAAGAUAUGGCCGGGUGCGUUGUCAAGGAUCAUUUGUUACUCCCACCAAAUAUUUCAGAUCCAGUUCAUCACAGUUCAUGUCAUCACAAUCUCAAUCUUACCAAUUAGAAGUUAGUCGUUUAAAACAACAGUUGGCUGAGAUGGAUCAACAAAUGGCUAACAUGAAAGCGGAAAAUGAAGCAAGGGAAGCAGCGGCAGCACAAAGAGAAGAAACAUAUUAGCAGAGAUGUGAAGAAUUUGAAAAACGACUACUAUGAUACAGAAAACUCAACCUUAAAAUCCACCAUCAUAGUCUCAUUUAUGUUAUCAGGAUUAUGUUAUUGUU